Molecule: ribosomal RNA, 253 nt
Filed under: uncultured bacterium
Lineage: Bacteria
Also listed under: 1 other name
Description: partial 16S ribosomal RNA
Rfam family: Bacterial small subunit ribosomal RNA
Source: RNAcentral
UACGUAGGUGGCGAGCGUUAUCCGGAUUUACUGGGCGUAAAGAGCGCGCAGGCGGUCGUGCAAGUCGGAUGUGAAAUCCCCCGGCUCAACUGGGGAAGGUCAUUCGAUACUGCUCGACUUGAAGGCGGGAGAGGGAAGCGGAAUUCCCGGUGUAGUGGUGAAAUGCGUAGAUAUCGGGAGGAACACCAGUGGCGAAGGCGGCUUCCUGGCCCGUUCUUGACGCUGAGGCGCGAAAGCUAGGGGAGCAAACGGG